Caenorhabditis elegans is the source of this 21-nucleotide non-coding RNA. The record is from Ensembl. NCBI's taxonomy places the organism in Eukaryota, Metazoa, Nematoda, Chromadorea, Rhabditida, Rhabditidae.
UCAAUAUCCAAAAAAACUGGC